Molecule: ribosomal RNA, 253 nt
Filed under: uncultured bacterium
Lineage: Bacteria
Description: partial 16S ribosomal RNA
Rfam family: Bacterial small subunit ribosomal RNA
Source: RNAcentral
UACGGAGGGUGCGAGCGUUGUCCGGAAUCACUGGGCGUAAAGGGCGCGUAGGCGGUGGCCUAAGCGUGCGGUGAAAGCCCGGGGCUCAACCCCGGGUCGGCCGUGCGGACUGGGCCACUCGAGCACACUAGGGGCAGGCGGAAUUCCGGGUGUAGCGGUGGAAUGCGUAGAGAUCCGGAAGAACACCGGUGGCGAAGGCGGCCUGCUGGGGUGGAGCUGACGCUGAGGCGCGACAGCGUGGGGAGCAAACAGG